GUCUUGGUACAAGACUCCAAACUUGAUUUCUUUCGAAUUGGUUGAGUUCUUCUUGCAUUGCUACUAUCCAUUGAUCGUCGCCUAAGGCUUCAUCGACUUUGGUUGGUUCUAUUUGAGAUACAAAAGCCAUGUUGAGACAAGCAUCCUUGAGAUUUAGUCGUGUUGCAACGCCUUGGCUAAUAUCACCAAUAACUUUAUCGAUCGGGUGAUCUCUAUGAGUUUUCCAUUCUUUUGGUAGAUCAUGAUGUUCUUCAAUGAUUGGUGAGCCAUCUCCUUGUGG
This 280-nucleotide long non-coding RNA is filed under the name Lathyrus oleraceus (garden pea). RNAcentral's name for it is "Pisum sativum (pea) long non-coding RNA (PSAT_LNC011743)". The record is from RNAcentral. Lineage: Eukaryota; Viridiplantae; Streptophyta; Magnoliopsida; Fabales; Fabaceae.